UAGCUAGUUGGUGAGGUAAAGGCUUACCAAGGCGACGAUCUGUAGCGGGUCUGAGAGGAUGAUCCGCCACACUGGAACUGAGACACGGUCCAGACUCCUACGGGAGGCAGCAGUGGGGAAUUUUGGACAAUGGGGGCAACCCUGAUCCAGCCAUGCCGCGUGAGUGAAGAAGGCCUUCGGGUUGUAAAGCUCUUUCGGCCGGGAAGAAAUCGCAUGGGCCAAUACCCUGUGUGGAUGACGGUACCGGAAUAAGAAGCACCGGCUAACUACGUGCCAGCAGCCGCGGUAAUACGUAGGGUGCGAGCGUUAAUCGGAAUUACUGGGCGUAAAGCGUGCGCAGGCGGUUUUGUAAGACAGGCGUGAAAUCCCCGGGCUUAACCUGGGAACUGCGUUUGUGACUGCAAGGCUAGAGUACGGCAGAGGGGGGUGGAAUUCCACGUGUAGCAGUGAAAUGCGUAGAGAUGUGGAGGAACACCAAUGGCGAAGGCAGCCCCCUGGGUCGAUACUGACGCUCAUGCACGAAAGCGUGGGUAGCAAACAGGAUUAGAUACCCUGGUAGUCCACGCCCUAAACUAUGUCAACUAGGUGUUGGGUGGGUAAAACCAUUUAGUACCGUAGCUAACGCGUGAAGUUGACCGCCUGGGGAGUACGGCCGCAAGGUUAAAACUCAAAGGAAUUGACGGGGACCCGCACAAGCGGUGGAUGAUGUGGAUUAAUUCGAUGCAACGCGAAAAACCUUACCUACCCUUGACAUGCCAGGAACUUGCCAGAGAUGGCUUGGUGCCCGAAAGGGAGCCUGGACACAGGUGCUGCAUGGCUGUCGUCAGCUCGUGUCGUGAGAUGUUGGGUUAAGUCCCGCAACGAGCGCAACCCUUGUCGUUAAUUGCCAUCAUUUGGUUGGGCACUUUAACGAGACUGCCGGUGACAAACCGGAGGAAGGUGGGGAUGACGUCAAGUCCUCAUGGCCCUUAUGGGUAGGGCUUCACACGUCAUACAAUGGUCGGUACAAAGGGUUGCCAAGCCGCGAGGCGGAGCCAAUCCCAGAAAGCCGAUCGUAGUCCGGAUUGCAGGCUGCAACUCGCCUGCAUGAAGUCGGAAUCGCUAGUAAUCGUGGAUCAGCAUGUCACGGUGAAUACGUUCCCGGGUCUUGUACACACCGCCCGUCACACCAUGGGAGCGGGUUCCGCCAGAAGUGGGUAGCCUAACCGCAAGGAGGGCGCUUACCACGGCGGGGUUCGUGACUGGGGUGAAGUCGUAACAAGGUAGCCGUAGGGGAACCUGCGGCUG
This 1287-nucleotide ribosomal RNA is filed under the name metagenome. RNAcentral describes it as "bacterial SSU rRNA". It matches the Rfam family "Bacterial small subunit ribosomal RNA", at positions 242 to 1520 of the family's 1533-position model. The record is from RNAcentral.